CUACCGGCGCCGGUAGGUGUCGGCGUUGAAUCCACCGUCCCACCUGGCUUUAAGAUCUGCGCCGCGUUCUCAGGUAUAAUACUCACUGUUUCGAUACACGAGGGAGAGUACCGAAUACCCGCAGGUACGACCUGAUGCCUUGUCUGAUACGCCCACCGUCUGGCCCCACAGAUUCCAAGCAAAAAUAUCGCAUCCCCUUCCUCUCCUGCUUGUUUGCUUCCCGAAAGCAGUUUCUCAGAUCCGCCAUGGAUUCUAUAAGCUCGUCGUUCCUCCCUCCACCUUCGCCUCUCUCCGGUAGUCUGAGAUCGGGCCAUCGAGCGAGGGACGACCUGCAUCGGAUUAUGCAUCGAUUCUCGGGCGACCUGUGUUGGAUUCUCCAUUGAUUCGACCCUGCACGUCGGAUCCUCCAUCGAUUUAAUCAAAGGACAAUGGCGAGGUGCGGUCCAUGUACUAGAAGAUGAGGAAUUGAGGACACAAGGUCAUGGCCAUGGCAUGUCUGACUGAGGAGCUCAAGACGAUGCACAGAAUUUGCAUGGCACAAAAAGCUCUCAGAGAUAUGGGAUGAAGAGCGGCGGCAGGUAGGACAAACAACUAGGGAGCAUCCUCAAUAGCUCCGCCGCCCCAACAACCAGCGAUGGGUGGUAUAGUGUGGUUGCACUAUCUCACUAUCUCGAUUUUUGUUGUGUUUCCUAUUUGAUUGUGCGGACAUUUUUCAUACUCCCGGAAAUAUUUGUGGAACUUGCAUGCCUUAUCUGAAACGCAGAAGGUUUGUGGUGUAUUUCUAGAAUAGAACAUUUUUGUGGAAAUGCUCUGAUAUCUCUAUAUAUGUAUGGCAUGUCAUUUGAUGUAUGGAACAAUUCUGGAACGAAUCAUGUACUAAAACAACUGGUUUAUUGAAACUUAGUGAAACUUGUAUUCUUCGUA
Molecule: long non-coding RNA, 924 nt
Organism: Lolium perenne
Lineage: Eukaryota; Viridiplantae; Streptophyta; Magnoliopsida; Poales; Poaceae
Source: RefSeq, a predicted model, not a curated record